UGCCCACAAAGUUACGGAGGUGCUCACGGAGUAUGGAGUGUUCUGUGGUGUCAAAAGCAGCAGCAAGUUUUAUGAGAAUUAGGAGUGUAAGCCACACAGUGAGGAGCGAAGAAAGUCACAGCACAUACAAGAGCAGGGACCUAAGUGGAUACCAUAUUGUACUGGGUUAUUGGGACAAAUUGUGGGAGUUAUUUUCAGAGGGGUGGGAGACGAUAACCCUCUCUAUGAUUUUUCAGCGGAAAUUGAGGCUUGAGAGUGGAUGGGAAUGUCUAAUGCUGUUGGGAUCCAGUGUGUGUGUGUUUUUUGCAGGAGAGUGGAAACAUGAGUUUUGAGUUUUAAGAGCUAAAGGAAUAGUACCGAAUUAGAUGGAGGCCUGGGAAUACAGACGAACACAUGCAUUAGUAAUAGAAGAGUUACCCAUCAGAAUUCCAUUCCUGAUUUUCUAAACCUAUUCAGAUAAAUCGUUGAUACGUUUUUCAAACUUGGAAACUGAUGUAGUGGAUAAGGAAGCCAUGCUCUGGGGACAAGGAAGGGAAUGGAAAUGCAAACCUAUUUAAAAAAAUAAACAGUGCAAAUGGCAUGCAAACAUCGAGAUACCCAAUACAUCCUUAUACAGCCGAAAAUAGAAAUGCUGAUAACAACUAGUUCAAACGCUGUUUCCAGUUCCUCUUAUGUAAAAGUUGCAACUACUUUACACACAGAUACCCAAUACAUCCUUAUACAGCCGAAACUAGAAAUGCUGAUAACAACUAGUUCAAACGCUGUUUCCAGUUCCUCUUAUGUAAAAGUUGCAACUACUUUACAGACAGUAAGACUUGGGGAAAUAUACAUUCUGUGCAUGCUCUGACUUACUUCAUUCUGAACAAGGCUGAACAAGUUGCAAUUGCAGGCCACCAGUCCUCCAGGUGAACAAGACAAGAAUGCACGGACCGGACAAUUCUGGGUGGUCCCAACCCCUUCCUCCCUACACCAUAUCGGGCGCGAAAAAUGAAGGCUCUACAUAUCCAUCCCCUGUGCCCCCCAAUUACCCCAUGCCAAUGUCUGCUUACCCGCAACCUGUUCAAGGGCCUCAGAUGGUCGUUAUGCAGCAGCAGCAGCAGCAACAACAACAACAACAGCCUCAAACGUUUGUCAGCAUUGCACCACAGAGCUAUCUGGGCUGGUCCAUAUUCACCUGCCUUUGCUUGUGCUGGCCGAUCGGCAUCCCUGCACUGGUGUUUUCUACGAUGGUGCAAGACAAAUGGACUAGAGGUGAUGCGCAUGGAGCACUGGAAAGUUCGAUAAUCGCCAGGAACCUCAAUAUCGCCGGAACCACAUUGGGCCUCGUAUGGAUUGUGGCUGUGUGCAUAGCAGUCCCUCUUUAUUAUCGAAGUAGUUAUUAUUAUUAUUAUGGAUAGGCAUGUUAUAUCUGUCUAAGAUGCCUAUUUUUUGCUGAUUCUUGACAUGGUAUUGCCUUUUGAUAUCAGAUGCAUUUGAAACUCGUGGUAAAAGUAAUCUCUGUGAUCAGAAGUUAAACUCUAAAAAGUACCAGGGAGUGAAUUACAAUGAUGAAGGAUGACACUUCAGUCUCUUUGAAUACUUGCAAAGGCAGAUAAGUUAUAAUAUAUUUCAUGCAACUGCCUGAAAAUGUUUUCUUAACAUCCUCAUGCACUUCUAGGAGUUUACCUUAAUGUUUCAGUUAUUUGCUUGUUAUUUUGAGCAUCAUAAGGCUGUGAAAACAAAUUUCCAGUUUAUUCUUUGGGGUCUUAUUUGUCAACAAUGAUCAUCACUUAUAGUCUGUCCACUGGUAGAUGAAGGCUCCACAUGCCACCACUCUCGGUUUUUAUGCCGCAAGUCAGCUCAGUUCUGCACAUGAACGGAUCUCAUUGUUCCACCUCCACAAUGGUCGUAAUCUUGGGGACAUUCUCUUAUUUGGCGGCAUUUCCAUCACCAGUCUCGUUCACAUCAGCGACCAACUUUUUUGGCGAUAUGCCCUGGCUAAGUCUAAUUUUGUUUUACUCAUUUACAUUAAGUGGAACUUUUCGUAGAUUUUGUGAAGUUAUUCAAUAAUUUUGAUUAUCCCUUUCAUUUACUCUUUUAUCAGCAAAUUUUGGGUCACUAAUACUUCAUAUGUUUAUUCAUUUAUUGCUGUAAUAAUAUUGGAAUUUGGAAAAUAUAUUGUAAUUUUGAUUUGAAUUGCUUUGGUGAAAAUGUAUCUUGUUGCCUGAGAGAAUUUGGAUGACUUAAAAUUCCUUUGAAUUAAAUAUAUUUUUUAUUAGU
Molecule: long non-coding RNA, 2259 nt
Organism: Petromyzon marinus (sea lamprey)
Lineage: Eukaryota; Metazoa; Chordata; Hyperoartia; Petromyzontiformes; Petromyzontidae
Source: RefSeq, a predicted model, not a curated record